Molecule: ribosomal RNA, 971 nt
Filed under: Actinomyces urogenitalis
Lineage: Bacteria; Bacillati; Actinomycetota; Actinomycetes; Actinomycetales; Actinomycetaceae
Description: bacterial SSU rRNA
Rfam family: Bacterial small subunit ribosomal RNA
Source: RNAcentral
UUAUAUGAGAGUUUGAUCCUGGCUCAGGACGAACGCUGGCGGCGUGCCUAAUACAUGCAAGUAGGACGCACAGUUUAUACCGUAGCUUGCUACACCAUAGACUGUGAGUUGCGAACGGGUGAGUAACGCGUAGGUAACCUACCUAUUAGAGGGGGAUAACUAUUGGAAACGAUAGCUAAUACCGCAUAACAGUAUGUAACACAUGUUAGAUGCUUGAAAGAUGCAAUUGCAUCGCUAGUAGAUGGACCUGCGUUGUAUUAGCUAGUAGGUAGGGUAAUGGCCUACCUAGGCAACGAUACAUAGCCGACCUGAGAGGGUGAUCGGCCACACUGGGACUGAGACACGGCCCAGACUCCUACGGGAGGCAGCAGUAGGGAAUCUUCGGCAAUGGGGGGAACCCUGACCGAGCAACGCCGCGUGAGUGAAGAAGGUUUUCGGAUCGUAAAGCUCUGUUGUUAAGGAAGAACGAGUGUGAGAAUGGAAAGUUCAUGCUGUGACGGUACUUAACCAGAAAGGGACGGCUAACUACGUGCCAGCAGCCGCGGUAAUACGUAGGUCCCGAGCGUUGUCCGGAUUUAUUGGGCGUAAAGCGAGCGCAGGCGGUUAGAAAAGUCUGAAGUGAAAGGCAGUGGCUCAACCAUUGUAGGCUUUGGAAACUGUUUAACUUGAGUGCAGAAGGGGAGAGUGGAAUUCCAUGUGUAGCGGUGAAAUGCGUAGAUAUAUGGAGGAACACCGGUGGCGAAAGCGGCUCUCUGGUCUGUAACUGACGCUGAGGCUCGAAAGCGUGGGGAGCGAACAGGAUUAGAUACCCUGGUAGUCCACGCCGUAAACGAUGAGUGCUAGGUGUUAGGUCCUUUCCGGGACUUAGUGCCGCAGCUAACGCAUUAAGCACUCCGCCUGGGGAGUACGACCGCAAGGUUGAAACUCAAAGGAAUUGACGGGGGCCCGCACAAGCGGUGGAGCAUGUGGUU